RNAcentral lists this ribosomal RNA (486 nucleotides) under uncultured bacterium. RNAcentral describes it as "bacterial SSU rRNA". It matches the Rfam family "Bacterial small subunit ribosomal RNA", at positions 29 to 507 of the family's 1533-position model. The record is from RNAcentral.
AUUGAACGCUAGCGGCAUGCCUUACACAUGCAAGUCGAACGGCAGCACGGGGGCAACCCUGGUGGCGAGUGGCGAACGGGUGAGUAAUGCAUCGGAACGUGCCCAUCGAUGGGGGAUAACUGCGCGAAAGCGUUGCUAAUACCGCAUACGACCUACGGGUGAAAGCAGGGGACCGCAAGGCCUUGCGUCGAUGGAGCGGCCGAUGCCGGAUUAGCUAGUUGGUGAGGUAAAGGCUCACCAAGGCGACGAUCCGUAGCUGGUCUGAGAGGACGACCAGCCCACACUGGGACUGAGACACGGCCCAGACUCCUACGGGAGGCAGCAGUGGGGAAUCUUGGACAAUGGGCGAAAGCCUGAUCCAGCAAUGCCGCGUGUGGGAAGAAGGCCUUCGGGUUGUAAAGCUCUGUGAUUCAGGACGAACGUAUCCUAUGUGGAUAAUGUGGGGUAGUGACGGUACCGGAAGAGGAAGCCACGGCUAACUACGUG